UACGGGGGGAGCAAGCGUUGUUCGGAUUUACUGGGCGUAAAGGGCGCGUAGGCGGUCGUGACAAGUCACUUGUGAAAUCUCCGGGCUUAACUCGGAACGGUCAAGUGAUACUGUCGGACUAGAGUACAGAAGGGGCAACUGGAAUUCUCGGUGUAGCGGUGAAAUGCGUAGAUAUCGAGAGGAACACCUGCGGCGAAGGCGGCAUCCUGGACUGGUCCUGACACUCAUGAGCGAAAGCGUGGGGAGCGAUCCGG
RNAcentral lists this ribosomal RNA (254 nucleotides) under uncultured bacterium. RNAcentral describes it as "partial 16S ribosomal RNA". It matches the Rfam family "Bacterial small subunit ribosomal RNA", at positions 524 to 776 of the family's 1533-position model. The record is from RNAcentral.